This 67-nucleotide transfer RNA is filed under the name Echinococcus shiquicus. RNAcentral's name for it is "tRNA-Met". Lineage: Eukaryota; Metazoa; Platyhelminthes; Cestoda; Cyclophyllidea; Taeniidae. The record is from RNAcentral.
AGACUGGUAAGUUAAUUAAACUGCGGGGUUCAUGUCUCCGUUUUACACGUUUUUUGUGUCUGGUUGA